CUGGAACACUCCACAAUCAGAGAGUGUGUCCACAUUCUGAUCCCGUGACCUGUGGAUGUGUGGCCUUAACCAGCAGAGGGACUCUGCGGAUCCUGCGGGUCUGCAGCCUUAGAGUCACCCAACACCCAAUGCUCUGCACCAGCCAAGGCAGCUACACUCAAGCCUGUGACCAAUGCACCCAAACUGUCCCGCUUUGUGCUGAAGAGUGACCGCGUCCCACAUAAACUGAUGCUGAGGAAGCUGAGGCUCUGGGACAAGCAUCAGGACCAGAACUGGACUGGUGGUUUCCUCCCUCCCCUCCUCUGGCACCAUUUCGCCUGUGUGUUUGCCCAGAACCUUCGGAGAAGCAUGGCCCCCUUAGUAUAUAGCCCUCACAGCAGCUCUUUCUUUCCCACCAGGAGGUGGAACCACACCUGGGGGGUGGAUGCUGCAGGGAACAGUCCAGGUUUACUUUGGCUGCGGACCAGCGAGGAGGAGGGUCCUUCCAGCACCUCGACCUUGCCAAGUUCCUGAGCUGGCACAUGGGCAGCAGGGGGGCGAGCUGGUCUGGUCCAAGGAGGCCAACAUCAAGGGGAGUGUGCCACACAGAUCAAACAGCCCCCGAGAAGCGGCUGAGGAAGGGCCGAUCCCCAGCUCCCCUCUGGAGUCUCUCUGGCCAUUGUCAAGACACGUCAGCGCCCCAUCCGUCCCCACGACCAAGGACCACGCGGUGACUCCUUCCCUCUCGGAAUUCUUUUGUUCGGCACUGAACAAAUAAACUGCAGGUUGUAUAGGAA
Odocoileus virginianus texanus is the source of this 776-nucleotide long non-coding RNA. RefSeq lists it as uncharacterized. The record is from RefSeq and is a predicted model, not a curated record. NCBI's taxonomy places the organism in Eukaryota, Metazoa, Chordata, Mammalia, Artiodactyla, Cervidae.